Molecule: non-coding RNA, 145 nt
Organism: Gossypium raimondii (Peruvian cotton)
Lineage: Eukaryota; Viridiplantae; Streptophyta; Magnoliopsida; Malvales; Malvaceae
Source: Rfam
UGUUAAAAAUUUCGUUCAUGUCUACUAUUAAAAACUAACAUGACCGAUAGAAUAACCAAACAAUGAGAUAAAGUAUGCCGCAUGUACCUCAUGUUAACAUAUAAGAACCAAUUUUUAACAGUAAAAAUGGAUAAAAUUUUCAACG